UACGUAGGGUGCAAGCGUUGUCCGGAAUUAUUGGGCGUAAAGAGCUCGUAGGCGGCUUGUCGCGUCGUCCGUGAAAACUUGUGGCUUAACCACAGGCUGGCGGUCGAUACGGGCAGGCUGGAGUUCGGUAGGGGAGACUGGAAUUCCUGGUGUAGCGGUGAAAUGCGCAGAUAUCAGGAGGAACACCGAUGGCGAAGGCAGGUCUCUGGGCCACUACUGACGCUGAGAAGCGAAAGCGUGGGGAGCGAACAGG
Molecule: ribosomal RNA, 253 nt
Filed under: uncultured bacterium
Lineage: Bacteria
Description: partial 16S ribosomal RNA
Rfam family: Bacterial small subunit ribosomal RNA
Source: RNAcentral